Molecule: long non-coding RNA, 914 nt
Organism: Salvia splendens (bonfire salvia)
Lineage: Eukaryota; Viridiplantae; Streptophyta; Magnoliopsida; Lamiales; Lamiaceae
Exons: 2
Source: RefSeq, a predicted model, not a curated record
CAAAAUAGGAAAGUGAAUGGUAUACUUUUCUUGAAUAACAAUUUGUGGGAUACAAAUUGAUGAAAUUUGUAAAGACAUUAGUGGUACAUACUACACAAGUAAUGGAGACUACACAUAUCUACACUACAUCCUACAUCCUAUCAACUCUAGUAGGGAGAACUAGAAGAUAGCUAUUUUGGCAAGAAAACCAAGUAGCUAUCAAGGAAUCUUUUUCUUCUCUUCUUCUCUCCCUCUUCUCGAUUCUUUCCAGCCCCAAGCUCCAAGAAUGGACAGCUUUAGUACCUACACAAUUACACCAAAUUGGGGUUAGAGAGAGAUUCUUAAAUAAAGGGAUGAGAAAGGCAAGCUAAAUUAAGAUGGUGGAAGUAGAGAGGAGCCAGGCUGGAUGGAACAGCCGAGAGGCUGCCCUCCCUUGGCUAGGGAGGCAGCCAUUUGCCACAUUUCCAUCUUUCACCAAAAUAGGAGCCAAGACAUAGAUAUAGAGGAGAAUGAGCCCACUGUUCAUGCUCAAAUUGGGAGGAAUUCAAACCCCUCUUUUCCGUCAACAAGACUAGGGGAGACUGCCAAGUAUGCAGCCCCAAAGCCUUCAUCUUUUUGGCAUAAAUCACAGUAACACAAGCUGAGAAAGGAGCUGGGAAAACAGCCCAGAAUAGCAUCACAACUUCCCAAGGAUCUGGCACAAAAUGCCAAUAUUUAGGAGCUAUAAAAGCAGCCCUCACCUUCUCCAUUCCCUCCACCCUCUAGUCACUACAAGCUUCACCAUAUCAAUCAAGGAAUUUCAGCAAAGAUCAGGGAGAGGGAAGGAGCAAGGAGGGCAGCCGCAUAAACCGUCGAAACCGUCCAAACCAAGGGAGAAAAAUAUUCAGGGGCAAGUGAGGCCCAGCGAGGAACUUAAGUGAAGAUAAGCACAAGAG